RNAcentral lists this ribosomal RNA (476 nucleotides) under uncultured bacterium. RNAcentral describes it as "SSU rRNA". It matches the Rfam family "Bacterial small subunit ribosomal RNA", at positions 26 to 521 of the family's 1533-position model. The record is from RNAcentral.
AGAGUGAACGCUGGCGGCAGGCCUAACACAUGCAAGUCGAACGUCCUGUCUCGCAAGAGGCAGGGAGUGGCGGACGGGUGAGUACCACGUGGGUUAUCUACCGUGAGGUGAGGAAUACCGGCGAGAAAUCGCCGACAAGACCGCAUAGCCUCGGUGCAAGUCGAGGAAAGCUCUCUCGAGAGAGGGAGCGCCACACGAGGAGCCUGCGCCCGAUUAGCUAGCUGGUGGAGUAAUGGUUCACCAGGGCGACGAUCGGUAGCUGGUCUGAGAGGACGAUCAGCCACACUGGGAUUGAGAACGGCCCAGACUCCUACGGGGGGCAGCAGUGAGGAAUUUUCGUCAAUGGGGGCAACCCUGAACGAGCAACGCCGCGUGCAGGAAGAAGGUUUUCGGAUCGUAAACUGCUUUUCUCGGGGAAGAGAACGGACGGUACCCGAGGAAUCAGCCCCGGCUAACUACGUGCCAGCAGCCGCGGU